AAAAAAAAAAACCAAAUUUU
This 20-nucleotide small nuclear RNA is filed under the name Arabidopsis thaliana (thale cress). RNAcentral's name for it is "snRNA_11772". Lineage: Eukaryota; Viridiplantae; Streptophyta; Magnoliopsida; Brassicales; Brassicaceae. The record is from RNAcentral.